Molecule: ribosomal RNA, 303 nt
Filed under: uncultured bacterium
Lineage: Bacteria
Description: partial 16S ribosomal RNA
Rfam family: Bacterial small subunit ribosomal RNA
Source: RNAcentral
AGCAGUCGCCACGGGAAUACGGAGGGUGCAAGCGUUAAUCGGAAUUACUGGGCGUAAAGCGCACGCAGGCGGUUUGUUAAGUCAGAUGUGAAAUCCCCGAGCUUAACUUGGGAACUGCAUUUGAAACUGGCAAGCUAGAGUCUUGUAGAGGGGGGUAGAAUUCCAGGUGUAGCGGUGAAAUGCGUAGAGAUCUGGAGGAAUACCGGUGGCGAAGGCGGCCCCCUGGUCCAUAACUGACGCUGAGGCGCGAAAGCGUGGGGAGCAAACAGGAUUAGAUACCCGAGUAGUCCCUGUCUCUUAUAC